UUAUGGCCAUAUCAUGCUGAAACAGCGGUUCACAUCCAAUCACUGAAAUUAAGCAAUAUUGAGCCUGGUCAGUACCUAGAUGGGUGACUGCUUGAGAAUACCAGGUGCUGUAA
This is a non-coding RNA of Acanthosepion pharaonis, 113 nucleotides long. The record is from the annotation of a GenBank genome assembly. Lineage: Eukaryota; Metazoa; Mollusca; Cephalopoda; Sepiida; Sepiidae.